This 116-nucleotide ribosomal RNA is filed under the name Pogona vitticeps (central bearded dragon). Lineage: Eukaryota; Metazoa; Chordata; Lepidosauria; Squamata; Agamidae. The record is from RNAcentral.
UAUUGCAUACCACCAUAAAACACACCAAGUCUUGUCAGACUUCAGAAGCUGAGUAGGGUCAGGCCUGGUUGACAUUGGGAUGGUGACCCCUUGGGAACAGCAUAGGUCUCCAAGGA